UACGUAGGGUGCGAGCGUUGUCCGGAAUUAUUGGGCGUAAAGAGCUCGUAGGCGGUUUGUCGCGUCUGCUGUGAAAACUGGAGGCUCAACCUCCAGCCUGCAGUGGGUACGGGCAGACUGGAGUACUGCGAGGGGAGACUGGAAUUCUCGGUGUAGCAGUGAAAUGCGUAGAUAUCAGAGGAACACCAGUGGCGAAGGCGAGUCUCGUAGACACUCCUGACACUGAGGCAACGAAAGCUAGGGGAGCAAACAGG
Molecule: ribosomal RNA, 254 nt
Filed under: uncultured bacterium
Lineage: Bacteria
Description: partial 16S ribosomal RNA
Rfam family: Bacterial small subunit ribosomal RNA
Source: RNAcentral